UUAUGUCAUUGGAACACUUAUUGGGUACUUUUGAGUUAUUGGGUAUACCCAAUAAUCCAAUUGCUUUCAUUGUGUUCCAGAGACAUUUACUGGGUAUUGGAUAACACAAACCCAAUAAAUGUUUGUCUGAGAUUUGUCUAUGAAAUCUAGUCCAUCUUAUGGACUUUACUGUUUGUUGAAAUCAAAUUCUUUUGGAAUGCCUUUGGUUUUAUCAUCAACAAUGAAGAAUUCAGAAGAGUUCCAAACAACUAUGACAUGUGAUAAGAUUAUCCAAUCAGAAAGUAGCAAUGGCUACUGAAACAGAUGCUAGAUGAACAUAUCACCUGGAACUAAAGAAAACCGAUUCAAGGCCUUAUUGCUAUCUGGAUAAAAAUAAUCAUGUGAUGAUGACCCUUUUGAUUUAGCAGAAUCAUGUGAUGAUGACCAUUUUGAUUUAGCACCUGGAAGAAGAAGUCAAGCCUGGAUGAGCUUUUUAAUGAAUUACAUCAUGAUGAUGAUUAUCAGAGCUAUACUGACAUCUGGACAAAGAGCAAAAAUGGAGCCCUGGAUUCACAGUUUAAAGAUUGAAAGUUUUUGUGAACAGAAUUUAGGUUAGCAGCAUAGAAAAAUAACUGCAUGCAGACCUUUCAACUCUGGAAAAGAAACCUUGGGCACCCAAGACCUUGUUGAGGCCAGGGGCAAGAAAUAGCAAGCAGUCUACCUGACCUGCAUGAAAAAUACACAUUUUGCCGGGAAACGAAUCUGACUUCACAUUACGAAAUUUUAACAAGAGAGAGGCAAUUUGAUGAGCUUUCAUUCAAGAGGUCCUUCGUUGCUGAACGAAAAUUAAGGCUUUGGAGCUAUGAACCUGAACGUUAACAUUACCGCCUCAGAUGGAAAUGCAUUAGUGGACAAUACCAAUAUUGAGCUCCAUGCUGAUACCUUGUAAAUUGAAUUGGAACUUCAUCAAAGAUUAAAACACAACAUUGAGACACACUAGAUAGUUUUUCAGUACAGACUUCACACCAUAAGAUUUUAACAAGAAAGAGGCAAUUUGAUGAGCUUUCAUUCAAGAGGUCCCUCGUUGCUGAACGAAAAAUAGGGCCGGAGCUAUGAACCGGAACGUUUACAUUACUGCCUAAGGAAAAUGCAUCAGUGGACAGGAACCUUUACAUUACCGCCUAUGGAAAAUGCAUCAGUGGACUAUACUCAGGCGUUUCAUGUGGAUACGAAGGUAGCGAGCAUUGCAGGAAAAAUACACGGCUAGUGUUAGAAAGCGUUUAAUGGGGUUUACCAUCAGAAAAAUCUGGUAAUUGAAGUGGUGAAAUGACGGGCGGCUGCCAAAAGGGUGCCCCUUUGGCUGGACAACUCAUACAGUUUUCGAGAUAUAAAGGUUUUUUGUUUUGCAGAUCAAUUGUAUAUAUAAUCGAGAUAUGCAUUAUUGCUAGGAUUUUAACUUUUGUAAAUUUUUGCAAAAAGUACCCACUUUUGAACUCGUCAUUUGCUUAUAAGGUACAUCUUUUGUGCAAAUAACUCCUCCCAACAGUUUUGAAGAUAGGGAUAUCUUAAUUUUGCAGAUUAAUUGUACAAUCUCAACCCCCAUAAACUUGAAAUGAUGACCAAAUAUCUUAAGAUUUGCACUUUUGAUUGAGUUAUGUCUUAGUGUACAGGAAUUGUUAAUAAUAUAUGUGUGUGCUCAUAGAAAAGAACAUCAUGCAUAUGCAUUGUAAUACCAGUAAAUAUCGUAUUGAAAUUGUUGAUCAUGUUAAGAUUUUCAAAGUUUAUGAUGAGUUACAGUAUGUCUAAUUCCACACAUACAAAAUUCUCUGUCACUGUUUUAAGGGAAAAAAACCCAAAUUGUACCAGUAUGAACAUUUUCUGAAUAUUUUUGGAUGUGCAUUUUUUAUGAGUCAGCCAAUGACUGUUGAAUAUUUAAACUUUCUCUGCAUUUUUGUAUGCAAGCUGAAUAUUAUGCCAGUUUAAAGGUCUAUGGAAUGGUCUGUUUGAUCUUCUUAACCAUACAUGUAAGAUGUCUGACAAUCUUUCUGUAAGAUUUGAUAAAUUCGUGUACAUGCAUAUGCAUUUGUGUAUAUUUCAUAUUUGAUGAUAAUUGUUGAAAUUGUUGAUAAAGUUGAGAUUUAUAAAGUUUAUGAUAGUUAUGUAAAUUGAUCAAUUUUGAGUUUAUGAUCAUAAAUUGUUGUUUAAAGUU
Magallana angulata is the source of this 2188-nucleotide long non-coding RNA. RefSeq lists it as uncharacterized. The record is from RefSeq and is a predicted model, not a curated record. The transcript is spliced from 8 exons. NCBI's taxonomy places the organism in Eukaryota, Metazoa, Mollusca, Bivalvia, Ostreida, Ostreidae.